GCUCCUAAAGGAUAACAGCUCAU
RNAcentral lists this transfer RNA (23 nucleotides) under Listrura tetraradiata. RNAcentral describes it as "partial tRNA-Leu". The record is from RNAcentral. Lineage: Eukaryota; Metazoa; Chordata; Actinopteri; Siluriformes; Trichomycteridae. RNAcentral also lists the same sequence under 1 other name.